This 253-nucleotide ribosomal RNA is filed under the name uncultured bacterium. RNAcentral describes it as "partial 16S ribosomal RNA". It matches the Rfam family "Bacterial small subunit ribosomal RNA", at positions 524 to 776 of the family's 1533-position model. The record is from RNAcentral.
UACGGAGGGUGCAAGCGUUAUCCGGAUUCACUGGGUUUAAAGGGUGCGUAGGUGGGUCUGUAAGUCAGUGGUGAAAUCUCCGGGCUUAACCCGGAAACUGCCAUUGAUACUAUAGGUCUUGAAUUAUCUGGAGGUAAGCGGAAUAUGUCAUGUAGCGGUGAAAUGCUUAGAUAUGACAUAGAACACCAAUUGCGAAGGCAGCUUACUGCCCGAAUAUUGACACUGAGGCGCGAAAGCGUGGGGAUCAAACAGG